GAUGAACGCUGACAGAAUGCUUAACACAUGCAAGUCUACUUGAAUUUGGGUUUUUUAACUUAGAUUUGGGUGGCGGACGGGUGAGUAACGCGUAAAGAACUUGCCUCACAGCUAGGGACAACAUUUGGAAACGAAUGCUAAUACCUGAUAUUAUGAUUAUAAGGCAUCUUAGAAUUAUGAAAGCUAUAUGCGCUGUGAGAGAGCUUUGCGUCCCAUUAGCUAGUUGGAGAGGUAACGGCUCACCAAGGCGAUGAUGGGUAGCCGGCCUGAGAGGGUGAACGGCCACAAGGGGACUGAGACACGGCCCUUACUCCUACGGGAGGCAGCAGUGGGGAAUAUUGGACAAUGGACCAAGAGUCUGAUCCAGCAAUUCUGUGUGCACGACGACGUUUUUCGGAAUGUAAAGUGCUUUCAGUUGGGAAGAAAAAAAUGACGGUACCAACAGAAGAAGUGACGGCUAAAUACGUG
Molecule: ribosomal RNA, 468 nt
Filed under: uncultured bacterium
Lineage: Bacteria
Description: partial 16S ribosomal RNA
Rfam family: Bacterial small subunit ribosomal RNA
Source: RNAcentral